Molecule: long non-coding RNA, 1369 nt
Filed under: Falco tinnunculus (common kestrel)
Lineage: Eukaryota; Metazoa; Chordata; Aves; Falconiformes; Falconidae
Description: lncRNA (ENSFTIG00000009055.1)
Source: RNAcentral
AUUCUGCUCGCCUGCGACUGCCUGCUCUAUUUCUGGGGACUCGGUUGCCAUGAUGAUCCUGCCGGUAAAGCCCUCUUGACGAAGUGUCUCUGCACACACCAAGGCAGCCACACCUACAAGAGAUGCUCGUCUCAGCCCUCUUACACAUCGCUAUGGAGUAGGAGGAAGAAGUCAGGUCCUCCCUGGAGAAGCGUGGCAGCUCACAGCAUAUGUGGGCAGGGCACAGUACAGGCCACUUCACUGACCUCCCCCCAGCAGCAGCAUCGUGUCCCGGUUGUAGGGGCAUCGCUUGCUUGUGUCCUUCACCCUCCGGCUGUUUUCAAGAUCCUAGAAGAAAAUGAGAAAUGCUGAAAUCAAACCCAGCCCAAGGUGCUGCUUGUGCUUGGUGACAGCAGGUAAGGAUCUGUGCUGGCUGUGAGGGGGAUACCAGGAUGUGUGGCAUCACCUUUGGUUGAAAGGAGCUUUAGGACAGGGAGUUGGAUGAUCCCAAGAAAUCAUCCCAUCUGUAGCUCUGCGCGACCUGGACCCGGGAGCUGUGGCCAGACCAGGGUGCUUCCAGCUGGUGUCAGGGGCACAGAGCUGGUGAGAGUGAAUGAACGUGAGUGGAAUGGAGGAUGUGGCCCAAGCUGGGAGGAGGAAGAGACAAGAAGUCACCUUGAAGCAGGGAAGACAGUCCAGCGAAGGGUAUUCCUCGAUGUCUCCAGUUCGGAUAUUAAAGCAGGAGCCAUGCCAAGGGCAGCGCAGCCUCUCCCCUCUCAAGACUCCUGCAGUAGAAAAGCCCCCCAGAACUGAGCAGAGAGGACUGACCCCCUGCCAUGGCUUCUCCCCCCUGCCCGGUGCCGGCGUUACCUUUGAACCAGAGCUGCUCAGGGACUGGCUUUCUGCCGCGCAGCACGUUCCCAAAUCCAGCAUCGGUGGGGGGAUAAAAUUCCUUUGGUGGGCACGGCCUGGAGAAGAGGGCAUGCACAGGGAUGCUCGGUAAGUGCAACCUGGUUAAUUUGCAAAGCAGCUCGCUUGUCAGACCCGCCAAGCUGUGAGCACACCUUCUUUCAGUGCCGGGUGCCAGGGCGCUGCCGCUUAAGGAGUGAUCUUAGCCCAUGGGCGAUGCACACCCAUGAUGGGCGCAGGUGCGAGGUAUUUUCUCACUGUGCCAACUAGCAGCUUUCAGGCUCUGCCUUCCUGGCCAGCAGCCUGAAUGUGAAGCAAUUUGGCUGCUGAAUGUCCCUGUUUAAACUCUCUGUAAUUACUCCCCAGAAGCAUGUUCCCACGUGGAGAAGCAGCAGCCCUCGUGGAGGCAUUCUCUGACUCGGCAGAAAUUGCUGAAAACGUUUGCUUAUGGAUGAAAGCUGCAGCGCACUGGCAAAGCGGC